Amphiprion ocellaris (clown anemonefish) is the source of this 370-nucleotide long non-coding RNA. The record is from Ensembl. NCBI's taxonomy places the organism in Eukaryota, Metazoa, Chordata, Actinopteri, Pomacentridae.
GUUUUUUUAUGAUCAUAGUAUCAAGAGUGUUUGUCCUGAAGGUUGGAUGGAUUCCAGCAUCACUGUUAUUACAACAACUAUGAAUGUCUGACCUGAAACUGAUGCCAUAACUGGAACUGCAGUGUAUCCCAUAUCAAAAUUCAGUUUCCAAGCAAUUAGAUUUCUUAAAGAACUGACUCUGCUGCUUCCCAUAUUGUUGGUUGUUAAAAAAAAAAAAAAAGGAACAAAAAUGUUUGCAAGUGUUUCACAAUAGUGAGAACACUGUAACCAGAAACAUGAAACAACUGCAGUGCAAACAUGCGCCGUUUGUCCACCCUACUGGCUUAUUGGCAGGUCUCUCUGCUCUCGCAGCUGUUUUGGAAGAAGCACU